Molecule: ribosomal RNA, 484 nt
Filed under: uncultured bacterium
Lineage: Bacteria
Description: partial 16S ribosomal RNA
Rfam family: Bacterial small subunit ribosomal RNA
Source: RNAcentral
AUUGAACGCUGGCGGCAGGCCUAACACAUGCAAGUCGAGCGGAUGAAGGGAGCUUGCUCCUGGAUUCAGCGGCGGACGGGUGAGUAAUGCCUAGGAAUCUGCCUGGUAGUGGGGGAUAACGUCCGGAAACGGGCGCUAAUACCGCAUACGUCCUGAGGGAGAAAGUGGGGGAUCUUCGGACCUCACGCUAUCAGAUGAGCCUAGGUCGGAUUAGCUAGUUGGUGGGGUAAAGGCCUACCAAGGCGACGAUCCGUAGCUGGUCUGAGAGGAUGAUCAGUCACACUGGAACUGAGACACGGUCCAGACUCCUACGGGAGGCAGCAGUGGGGAAUAUUGGACAAUGGGCGAAAGCCUGAUCCAGCCAUGCCGCGUGUGUGAAGAAGGUCUUCGGAUUGUAAAGCACUUUAAGUUGGGAGGAAGGGCAGUAAGUUAAUACCUUGCUGUUUUGACGUUACCAACAGAAUAAGCUCCGGCUAACUUCGUG